RNAcentral lists this long non-coding RNA (1103 nucleotides) under Homo sapiens (human). Its description in RNAcentral is "HSALNT0295550". Lineage: Eukaryota; Metazoa; Chordata; Mammalia; Primates; Hominidae. The record is from RNAcentral.
CCUGGUUAUCUUUAUGAUGUGGCACUGUGUGCAUAUCUUCGUUAAAACGCAUUGAAGGCCACUGCACUCCACCCUGGGCGACAAGAGGUGACUGUGUCUCAAAAAAACCAAAAACACUCCCCCCUCACCCCAAAGCAUUAGACGUCAAGGCUGGCAGGGAUGUCUGUUCUCUUGAAAGUUCAAUAUCAAAAUACUUGGAAAUUAAACUAAAAUAGUAGAAGCAAGAACAAAAAUUAAGUUGAAGAUAAUGUCAAGAAUAUUUCCCACAAACCAAAAUAAUAAUGUAAAAACAGGAGAGAAAAGUUCAGGAAGGUAGAUGUCCAAGGUCCAUACGAUUAGCAUGCGUAUCAGAAAGAGGAUAGAAAAAAAUCAGUACAAUAAUUCAAAACACUUUCCAUACCAAUGGAUUGAAACUACAGUGAAUUUAAAGUAUUGAAUUGAUAUUGAACUUUCAAGAGAACAGACAUCCCUGCCAGCCUUGACGUCUAAUGCUUUGGGGUGAGGGGGGAGUGUUUUUGGUUUUUUUGAGACACAGUCACCUCUUGUCACCCAGGGUGGAGUGCAGUGGCCUUUAAUGCAUUUUAAGGAAGAUAUGCAAACAGUGCCACAUCACAAAGAUAAUCAGGUUUGAAAGGAAUCGGUUUCCUUUGCAAUCCUAAACGUCCUAGUCUGCUCAUUGAAAGCCAUUAUUUGAAGAAGGGUGCACGGGCUUCCAGCUGGCUGCCAAAGGGGACCUCCACAGGACACAGAUUAAGUACCCGCUUCAUUGCGGGAGACGAGGGGCGGGGACAGGAGGGAAAGAAGAGAGAGGCAUAAGUCACUUCCCCGCUGGCUCUGGCAGAGGUUUGGUCCCCUGAGUGCUCCUUUCUUGUAAGCAGUUCUUGUUUCAUAUUUUCACUAUCUCUGACACUGUUAACUGUACGAUUUUUUUUCUUCUGUACACAAAAAAAAGUUUGUUUCAAUAGUGAACUAUGAGCCAGGGUGGUGGCUUAUGCCUAUAAUCCCAGCACUUUGGGAGGCCAAGGCGGGCAGAUCACCUGAGGUUAGGAGUUCAAGAUCAGUCUGGCCAACAUAGUGAAACCCUGUCUCUACUAAAAAUACAA